RNAcentral lists this ribosomal RNA (525 nucleotides) under uncultured bacterium. Its description in RNAcentral is "bacterial SSU rRNA". It matches the Rfam family "Bacterial small subunit ribosomal RNA", at positions 1 to 518 of the family's 1533-position model. The record is from RNAcentral.
CGAGUCACGAGAGGUUCGAUACUGGCUCAGGAUGAACGCUAGCGACAGGCUAACACAUGCAAGUCGAGGGCAGCAUAAAGUAGCAAUACUUGGUGGCGACCGGCGCACGGGUGAGUAACGCGUAUGCAACCUACCUAUCAGAGGGGAAUAACCCGGCGAAAGUCGGACUAAUACCGCAUAAAACAGGGGCACCGCAUGGUGAUAUUUGUUAAAGAAUUCGCUGAUAGAUGGGCAUGCGUUCCAUUAGGUAGUUGGUGAGGUAACGGCUCACCAAGCCGACGAUGGAUAGGGGAACUGAGAGGUUGGUCCCCCCACACUGGUACUGAGACACGGACCAGACUCCUACGGGAGGCAGCAGUGAGGAAUAUUGGUCAAUGGGCGGGAGCCUGAACCAGCCAAGUCGCGUUGAAGGAAGAAGGAUCUAUGGUUCGUAAACUUCUUUUGCAGGGGAAUAAAGUGCAGGACGUGUCCUGUUUUGUAUGUACCCUGAGAAUAAGGAUCGGCUAACUCCGUGCCAGCCGCCGC